RNAcentral lists this ribosomal RNA (444 nucleotides) under uncultured bacterium. RNAcentral describes it as "SSU rRNA". It matches the Rfam family "Bacterial small subunit ribosomal RNA", at positions 26 to 518 of the family's 1533-position model. The record is from RNAcentral.
AGAACGAACGCUGGCGGCACGCCUAACACAUGCAAGUCGAGCGCCCAGCAAUGGGAGCGGCGGACGGGUGAGGAACACGUGGGAACAUGCCUUUCGGUUCGGCACAACUGCGGGAAACUGCAGCUAAUUCCGGAUACGCCCUUACGGGGAAAGAUUUAUCGCCGAAAGAUUGGCCCGCGUCUGAUUAGCUAGUUGGUGAGGUAAUGGCUCACCAAGGCUUCGAUCAGUAGCUGGUUUGAGAGAACGACCAGCCACACUGGGACUGAGACACGGCCCAGACUCCUACGGGAGGCAGCAGUGGGGAAUCUUGGACAAUGGAGGAAACUCUGAUCCAGCGAUGCCGCGUGAGUGAUGAAGGCCUUCGGGUUGUAAACUCUUUUACCAGGGUAAGAUAAUGACUGUACCUGGAGAAUAAGCCCCGGCUAACUUCGUGCCAGCAGCCGC